Molecule: long non-coding RNA, 685 nt
Filed under: Mus spretus (western wild mouse)
Lineage: Eukaryota; Metazoa; Chordata; Mammalia; Rodentia; Muridae
Description: lncRNA (ENSMSPG00010048223.1)
Source: RNAcentral
AGAUACCGCCUCCACCACAGUUCUGACAACUUGUUCCUAAGCAUUUGUCAACCUUGUUUGUAUUAUUGCCAGUGUUAUACAUGGCCGGACACUGCGCCACGCGACUGCAUUGCCAGCCACGAGGAAGUCUGACAAGUAUCACAAGCUCGAGGACUGACUGGACUAUAAAGUGGGACUUGUCUUAAAAGACCAGGAGCAACAUUGGAGAAGAUGCAGAAAGUGGCAUCUGUCUUUGCUACUCACAUCCAUACAGCAAUGAACAAAGGAGAACAGGACAGAGUUUCUCUGUGUAGCCCUGGCUGUUCUGGAAUUCGCUCUGUAGACCAGGCUGGUCUGAAUUCACAGAGAUCCACCUCUGCCACCUGAGUGCCUUCAGAUGAAGAUGUAGAACUCUCAGUUCCUCCUGCACCAUGUCUGCUUGGAUGCUGCCUUGUUACUGCCUUCAUGAUAAUGGACUGAACCUCUGAACCUGUAAGCCAGCCCCAAUUAAAUGCUGCCUUGGACAUACCAUCUCUUCACAGCAGUAAAAACCUAAGACAGGUGUGGUUAAGUUACAACACAACCUCCACUCACACAAGAUGAAGAAAAACCCAGGUGUUACUCUACACACAAAUUGGGCCAGUAAUUGGGAGACAUGUGCUUAGCCCACAGCUGCUGGCCCAGAGAGAGCUGGUACUAGAAUCUG